CGCAUCUUGCGCUCCUUGGUAUUCCGAGGAGCAUGCCUGUUUGAGUGUCGUGAAAUCUCUCAACCCCUGUUUCCUUUCUGGAUUUUAGGGAUUGGAUUUGGACGUCUGCUGCGUCUCGCGCGGCUCGUCUUGAAAUGCAUUAGCUGGUCCCGUCGCAUGAGCCCCGGUCUUUGCAAACGGUGUGAUAAGGAAACGCUUGUGCCGUUUUAAUUGCCGACUCUGGGAAAGGGCUGCUUCUAACCGUCUGCGGACGUUUGUUUUUACCCCAUCUGACCUCAAAUCAGGUAGGACUACCCGCUGAACUUAA
This 307-nucleotide unclassified non-coding RNA is filed under the name Phaeoclavulina abietina. Its description in RNAcentral is "partial contains 5.8S ribosomal RNA, internal transcribed spacer 2, and large subunit ribosomal RNA". Lineage: Eukaryota; Fungi; Basidiomycota; Agaricomycetes; Gomphales; Gomphaceae. The record is from RNAcentral.